This 463-nucleotide ribosomal RNA is filed under the name uncultured bacterium. RNAcentral's name for it is "bacterial SSU rRNA". It matches the Rfam family "Bacterial small subunit ribosomal RNA", at positions 28 to 516 of the family's 1533-position model. The record is from RNAcentral.
GAUGAACGCUGGCGGUAUGCUUUACACAUGCAAGUCGUACGAAAAGUAUUUGAAUUUAUUCGUUUACUUUUAGUGGCGGACGGGUGAGUAACACGUGAGAAUCUGCCUUUAGGAGGGGGACAACAAAUCGAAAGGUCUGCUAAAACCCCAUAUGUCGUUAGAUGAAAUAGAUUUAUCUGCCUAAAGAGGAGCUCGCGGCUGAUUAGCUAGUUGGUGGGGUAAAGGCCUACCAAGGCGACGAUCAGUAGCUGGUCUGAGAGGAUGAUCAGUCACACUGGAACUGAGACACGGUCCAGACUCCUACGGGAGGCAGCAGUGGGGAAUUUUCCGCAAUGGGCGAAAGCCUGACGGAGCAAUACCGCGUGAGGGAUGAAGGCUUAAUGAGUUGUAAACCUCUUUUUUCAAGGAAGAAGUUCUGACGUUACUUGAAGAAUAAGCAUCGGCUAACUCCGUGCCAGCCGCC